UACGAAGGGGGCUAGCGUUGCUCGGAAUCACUGGGCGUAAAGGGCACGUAGGCGGCGUUUUAAGUCGGGGGUGAAAGCCUGUGGCUCAACCACAGAAUGGCCUUCGAUACUGGGACGCUUGAGUAUGGUAGAGGUUGGUGGAACUGCGAGUGUAGAGGUGAAAUUCGUAGAUAUUCGCAAGAACACCGGUGGCGAAGGCGGCCAACUGGACCAUUACUGACGCUGAGGCGCGAAAGCGUGGGGAGCAAACAGG
Molecule: ribosomal RNA, 253 nt
Filed under: uncultured bacterium
Lineage: Bacteria
Description: partial 16S ribosomal RNA
Rfam family: Bacterial small subunit ribosomal RNA
Source: RNAcentral